RNAcentral lists this ribosomal RNA (429 nucleotides) under Bacillota bacterium. RNAcentral describes it as "Firmicutes bacterium partial 16S ribosomal RNA". It matches the Rfam family "Bacterial small subunit ribosomal RNA", at positions 355 to 776 of the family's 1533-position model. The record is from RNAcentral. Lineage: Bacteria; Bacillati; Bacillota.
UGGGGAAUUUUGGACAAUGGGCGAAAGCCUGAUCCAGCAAUGCCGCGUGUGUGAAGAAGGCCUUCGGGUUGUAAAGCACUUUUGUCCGGAAAGAAAUGGCUCUGGUUAAUACCUGGGGUCGAUGACGGUACCGGAAGAAUAAGGACCGGCUAACUACGUGCCAGCAGCCGCGGUAAUACGUAGGGUCCAAGCGUUAAUCGGAAUUACUGGGCGUAAAGCGUGCGCAGGCGGUUGUGCAAGACCGAUGUGAAAUCCCCGAGCUUAACUUGAGAAUUGCAUUGAAGACUGCACGGCUAGAGUGUAUCAGAGGGGGGUAGAAUUCAACGUGUAGCAGUGAAAUGCGUAGUGAGGUGGAGGAAUACCGAUGGCGAAGGCAGCCCCCUGGGAUAACACUGACGCUCAUGCACGAAAGCGUGGGGAGCAAACAGG